CUGGUCUGAAAGGCCAGACAGAUUUCUGAGCCUUUGAGAUGUUCCACGCUUGUUUGUUGAUCUGAGCACAAAAGGCAGUUUUCCUAGCACCGACUUAAAGGCUGCUAGGCCCUCAAGUUUCAAGAUGGCAGAGACAGGUCCAGUGUGGUGAGGAAC
Molecule: long non-coding RNA, 156 nt
Organism: Eptesicus fuscus (big brown bat)
Lineage: Eukaryota; Metazoa; Chordata; Mammalia; Chiroptera; Vespertilionidae
Exons: 3
Source: RefSeq, a predicted model, not a curated record